This 253-nucleotide ribosomal RNA is filed under the name uncultured bacterium. RNAcentral's name for it is "partial 16S ribosomal RNA". It matches the Rfam family "Bacterial small subunit ribosomal RNA", at positions 524 to 776 of the family's 1533-position model. The record is from RNAcentral.
UACGUAGGUGGCAAGCGUUGUCCGGAAUUAUUGGGCGUAAAGGGCGCGUAGGCGGCGUCUUAAGUCAGAUGUGAAAACCCGAGGCUCAACUUCGGGAAUGCAUUUGAAACUGGGAUGCUAGAGUGCAGGAGAGGAAAGUGGAAUUCCUAGUGUAGCGGUGAAAUGCGUAGAGAUUAGGAGGAACACCAGUGGCGAAGGCGACUUUCUGGACUGUAACUGACGCUGAGGCGCGAAAGCGUGGGGAGCAAACAGG